GAUGAAGAACGCAGCGAAAUGCGAUACGUAAUGUGAAUUGCAGAAUUCAGUGAAUCAUCGAAUCUUUGAACGCAUAUUGCGCUCUCUGGUAUUCCGGAGAGCAUGCUUGUUUGAGUAUCAGUAAACACCUCAACUUCCAUAUCUUUUUUGAAAUGGGAGUUGGACUUGAGUGAUCCCAACGCUUUUCCUCACCGAAAAGUGGCGGGUUACUUGAAAUGCAGGUGCAGCUGGACUUUUCUCUGAGCUAUAAGCAUAUCUAUUUAGUCUGCCUAAAAAACAGAUUAUUACCUUUGCUGCAGCUAACAUAAAGGAGAUUAGUUCUUGUGCUGACUGAUGCAGGAUUCACAAAGACGGCUUCGGCCGACUUUGUAAACUCGAUCUCAAAUAAAGUAAGACUACCCGCUGAACUUAAGCAUAUCAAUAAGCGGAGGA
RNAcentral lists this unclassified non-coding RNA (432 nucleotides) under soil metagenome. Its description in RNAcentral is "partial contains 5.8S ribosomal RNA, internal transcribed spacer 2, and large subunit ribosomal RNA". The stretch from base 1 to 120 matches the Rfam family "5.8S ribosomal RNA", at positions 35 to 154 of the family's 154-position model. The record is from RNAcentral.